CCUACGGGUGGCAGCAGUGAGGAAUAUUUGUCAAUGGACGAGAGUCUGAACCAGCCAAGUAGCGUGAAGGAUGACUGCCCUAUGGGUUGUAAACUUCUUUUAUAUGGGAAUAAAAUGUUCCACGUGUGGGAUUUUGUAUGUACCAUAUGAAUAAGGAUCGGCUAACUCCGUGCCAGCAGCCGCGGUAAUACGGAGGAUCCGAGCGUUAUCCGGAUUUAUUGGGUUGAAAGGGAGCGUAGGUGGAUUGUUAAGUCAGUUGUGAAAGUUUGCGGCUCAACCGUAAAAUUGCAGUUGAAACUGGCAGUCUUGAGUACAGUAGAGGUGGGCGGAAUUCGUGGUGUAGCGGUGAAAUGCUUAGAUAUCACGAAGAACUCCGAUUGCGAAGGCAGUUCACUGGACUGCAACUGACACUGAGGCUCGAAAGUGUGGGUAUCAAACAGGAUUAGAUACCCUUGUAGGC
RNAcentral lists this ribosomal RNA (460 nucleotides) under uncultured bacterium. Its description in RNAcentral is "partial 16S ribosomal RNA". It matches the Rfam family "Bacterial small subunit ribosomal RNA", at positions 338 to 795 of the family's 1533-position model. The record is from RNAcentral.